GAAUACCCCCCCCCCCCCCCCCCCCCCCCCCCCCCCCCCCCCCCCCCCCCCCCCCCCCCCCCCCCCCCCCCCCCCCCCCCCCCCCCCCCCCCCCCCCCCCCCCCCCCCCCCCCCCCCCCCCCCCCCCCCCCCCCCCCCCCCCCCCCCCCCCCCCCCCCCCCCCCCCCCCCCCCCCCCCCCCCCCCCCCCCCCCCCCCCCCCCCCCCCCCCCCCCCCCCCCCCCCCCCCCCCCCCCCCCCCCCCCCCCCCCC
RNAcentral lists this long non-coding RNA (251 nucleotides) under Panax ginseng (ginseng). Its description in RNAcentral is "long non-coding RNA (PGIN_LNC004401)". The record is from RNAcentral. Lineage: Eukaryota; Viridiplantae; Streptophyta; Magnoliopsida; Apiales; Araliaceae.